CCCACUGACUUCAUCAAGUCAUUAAAUUGGAUUAGUGUCAUGCUGGUUGAAAUGGCACCUAGAUCAAUUACACUGAUCAACUUUAAUGGCAUAGGUCAGCUCGAAUCAUUUAGCAGUCUAAUCAAAAUAUAAUCCAUCAAAUUGAUCAGAUAAGCUUGUCUUAGACACUAUCAAAAUGGUCAGGUAAGCCACUUCCAAUUAAAAACUACCGAACGAAAUGCCAAACUUACCUAAGACACCCAUUGGUUAAUUAGUUUCGAUUUGACCAGCCUACUGACUUGGGUUCAACCACUGAGCCUCAAUCAAAGUUCAUUUGAUCUAAUCAAAGAUAUGAACUUGACCAUUUACAACUAUUAUAUUGGUUCUAGAGAAAAUCUUAAUUUAGUCUAAUUCAAUAUUUGGUUAGAUUUAAUCAAUUUCUCUAUAUGGUCCAUUAAUUCUUUGAUUCUAAUCUUAGAUCUAACCUAAUUAAGAAGAUCUGAUUUGAGCUAAUCCAUGCCCCC
This 503-nucleotide long non-coding RNA is filed under the name Elaeis guineensis (African oil palm). RNAcentral describes it as "long non-coding RNA (EGUI_LNC067873)". Lineage: Eukaryota; Viridiplantae; Streptophyta; Magnoliopsida; Arecales; Arecaceae. The record is from RNAcentral.